This 783-nucleotide ribosomal RNA is filed under the name uncultured Prevotella sp. RNAcentral's name for it is "bacterial SSU rRNA". It matches the Rfam family "Bacterial small subunit ribosomal RNA", at positions 64 to 845 of the family's 1533-position model. Lineage: Bacteria; Pseudomonadati; Bacteroidota; Bacteroidia; Bacteroidales; Prevotellaceae. The record is from RNAcentral.
GCAGCGGGUUGAAAGCUUGCUUUCAAUGCCGGCGACCGGCGCACGGGUGCGUAACGCGUAUCAAACCUGCCUCAUACUCGGGGAUAGCCUUGCGAAAGUAAGAUUAAUACCCGAUGUUGUUGCUUUCUCGCAUGGGAGAGUAACCAAAGAUUUAUCGGUAUGAGAUGGUGAUGCGUCCGAUUAGGUAGUAGGCGGGGUAACGGCCCACCUAGCCUUCGAUCGGUAGGGGUUCUGAGAGGAAGGUCCCCCACACUGGAACUGAGACACGGUCCAGACUCCUACGGGAGGCAGCAGUGAGGAAUAUUGGUCAAUGGGCGAGAGCCUGAACCAGCCAAGUAGCGUGCAGGAUGACGGCCCUCCGGGUUGUAAACUGCUUUUAGUUGGGAAUAAAAAAAGGGACUUGUCCCUUCUUGUAUGUACCUUCAGAAAAAGGACCGGCUAAUUCCGUGCCAGCAGCCGCGGUAAUACGGAAGGUCCAGGCGUUAUCCGGAUUUAUUGGGUUUAAAGGGAGCGUAGGCGGAUUGUUAAGUCAGCGGUUAAAGGGUGUGGCUCAACCAUGCAUUGCCGUUGAAACUGGCGAUCUUGAGUGCAGACAGGGAUGCCGGAAUUCGUGGUGUAGCGGUGAAAUGCUUAGAUAUCACGAAGAACUCCGAUCGCGAAGGCAGGUGUCCGGGCUGCAACUGACGCUGAGGCUCGAAAGUGUGGGUAUCAAACAGGAUUAGAUACCCUGGUAGUCCACACAGUAAACGAUGUAUACUCGCGGUUUGCGAUAGACAGUAAGCC